AUUGAACGCUGGCGGCAUGCCUUACACAUGCAAGUCGAACGGCAGCACGGGUGCUUGCACCUGGUGGCGAGUGGCGAACGGGUGAGUGAUACAUCGGAACGUACCUUAUCGUGGGGGAUAACGCAGCGAAAGUUGCGCUAAUACCGCAUAAGCCCUGAGGGGGAAAGCGGGGGACCGUAAGGCCUCGCGCGAUUAGAGCGGCCGAUGCCUGAUUAGCUUGUUGGUGGGGUAAAAGCCCACCAAGGCGACGAUCAGUAGCUGGUCUGAGAGGACGAUCAGCCACACUGGGACUGAGACACGGCCCAGACUCCUACGGGAGGCAGCAGUGGGGAAUUUUGGACAAUGGGGGCAACCCUGAUCCAGCAAUGCCGCGUGAGUGAAGAAGGCCUUCGGGUCGUAAAGCUCUUUUGUCAGGGAAGAAACACCGGCUCUAACACAGUCCGGGAAUGACGGUACCUGAAGAAUAAGCACCGGCUAACUACGUGCCAGCCGCCGCCGUAA
RNAcentral lists this ribosomal RNA (501 nucleotides) under uncultured bacterium. Its description in RNAcentral is "partial 16S ribosomal RNA". It matches the Rfam family "Bacterial small subunit ribosomal RNA", at positions 29 to 523 of the family's 1533-position model. The record is from RNAcentral.